CCCGCUGAACUUAAGCAUAUCAAUAAGCGGAGGAAAAGAAACUAACAAGGAUUCCCCUAGUAACUGCGAGUGAAGCGGGAAAAGCUCAAAUUUAAAAUCCGGCGAUCUUUGCGGCCGUCCGAGUUGUAAUCUAGAGAAGUGUUAUCCGCGCUGGACCGUGUACAAGUCUCCUGGAACGGAGCGUCAUAGAGGGUGAGAAUCCCGUCUUUGACACGGACUUACCAGGGCUUUAUGUGAUGCGCUCUCGAAGAGUCGAGUUGUUUGGGAAUGCAGCUCAAAAUGGGUGGUAAAUUCCAUCUAAAGCUAAAUAUUGGCGAGAGACCGAUAGCGAACAAGUACCGUGAGGGAAAGAUGAAAAGAACUUUGAAAAGAGAGUUAAACAGUAUGUGAAAUUGUUGAAAGGGAAGCGCUUGCAACCAGACUUGUGUGUGGCGGUUCCCCCGGUCUUCUGACCGGGUUAUUCUGUCAUAACCAGGCCAGCAUCGAUUUAGGUGGCCAGUUAAAGGCUCUGGGAAGGUAUCUACCUUCGGGUCGACUUACAGCCCAGGGUGUAAUGUGGCCUACCUGGAUCGAGGAACGCGCUCUUUGCCCGGAUGUUGGCGUAAUGGUUGCAAGCGGCCCGUCUUGAAACACGG
This 635-nucleotide ribosomal RNA is filed under the name uncultured fungus. Its description in RNAcentral is "eukaryotic LSU rRNA". It matches the Rfam family "Eukaryotic large subunit ribosomal RNA", at positions 24 to 664 of the family's 3401-position model. Lineage: Eukaryota; Fungi. The record is from RNAcentral.